AACCAACAGUCUACAACUUGAAACACCCGUUAAAUUGUGCAGCCUUUGGGUUCGUUUCAUAAAUGAGUGUUGUGGAAUCUGGAAAUAAGUUCAAAUCGGCGACUGCAACAGGAGCGAUACUGGAGAGCAGCAACUGGUUCGUUCGCCUCGCUGGUGCUGCUGCUGCAACAUCUACAACCGACGGAGGAGAACGGGCUGACCGACACAAUUCACGUGUAAUCUUGGUGGAAUAACGCGCGUUGAGCUGCUUUUACACAUUUUUACAGGCUUUACAGUACUUGGAGAGCAGAUCUUCUUCGCCAAUGGCAAGUCCGGUUGCAGACAUAGGACAGUCUCAUCAGCAUCACCCUGUGACCGACUCGGCCACAGACUCCGCGUUCCAGGAGGCGCAGACAUGGAUAGAGGCUGCUACAGGAAGAUGCUUUGGUGACAAAGACUUCAGAGGAGGUUUGGAGAACGGGAUUUUGCUAUGCGAGUUGUUGAGCUCUAUUAAACCCGGCCUGGUGAAGAAAAUCAACAGACUUCCGACACCCAUAGCUGGCCUGGACAACCUCAGUGUGUUUCUGCGUGGCUGUGAAGAGUUGGGACUGAAAGGCUCCCAGCUGUUUGACCCUGGAGACCUGCAGGACACGUCGACACGCCCCACUGCCAAGGGAAGUGACUGCAGCCGAAAGCUCAAGAAUGUUCUAAUCACCAUCUACUGGUUGGGUCGUGCUGCCAACGGCUGUACCUCCUACAACGGUCCCACGCUGGACCUGAAAGAGUUUGAGGGCCUGCUGUCACAGAUGCGAAAGGAGGCAGAGGAAGCAGAGAGCCCUAAACGCAGCAUCCGGGACAGUGGCUACAUCGACUGCUGGGACUCUGAGCGCAGCGACUCUCUCUCCCCGCCACGCCACGGCCGCGAGGACUCGUUCGACAGUCUGGACUCCUUCGGCUCACGCUCACGACAGACCCCAUCGCCGGACGUCCUGGUCGCCCGCGGCAGCAGUGAUGGCCGCGGCAGUGACUCAGAGUCCGACGGUCCCCCCCACAGAAAGAUACCUGAUAUCCGCAAGGAUGACAUGUCGGCACGGCGGACGUCCAUCAGCGAACCACGAACAGCCAUGCCUUUCAACCAGUACCUGCCCAACAAGAGCAACCAGAGUGGCUAUUUGCCCACUCCACUCCGCAAGAAGAAGAACGAUAAAGAAGAGGGAGCACGCAAGAGUUGGAGUACUGCCACUUCCCCUGUAGGGGGAGACAGACCACUCAGUCCAAAUGAGCCCCCUAGCUUAGCCAACCCACCUGGAGAGUCCCCCAGCUCGUCCCCUACCCCGCCCCUCGAACCCCAGAUACAGAUUCAGAAGAAGAACCAGACUAAAAAGGACGAUGACGAAGUGAAGCAGACUGCCUCUACACUUUGCAUUGAGAUCCAUGCAGCAGGCUUGAGGAGGAGCAGUGAGCCUCUGCCAUGUAGAGUCCCCCAACCCUGUGCAGAGCCCCCCAUGGUGAACGUAACUCACCUGAUCAUCACCUCUGAGCAAAGUACUCCAGCUCGCUCGUGCUCAGAGGAACUCUUCCACCAUUCCACGACUCUAGCAGCAAACGCUGCAGCAACCCCCACGGUUGCAGCAAGCCCUGUCAUCACCGCCGGGAAGCAUCCACCUGUGAUGGAGCAGGAGGAGGCGGCUGUGACGAAGGGAGCCACUGGUGUCCCGUUAGUCGCAGAACAAGAUGAGAAGCUGGCUCGCCAAAUGCUGAUCUCUCCCAAACACAUCACCACUCAGAGUCCCCCCCACUUCCUUCCUGUGCCCACUACCAUGGCAACUGCUACAACAGCAACAACUGAUACAGGCCGACGGAAGGGAAGGGCGCUGAGUGAAAGUGAUGACCCACAAGGAGGCAACUCUUGGUUGGCCAGCAGUCUUCCAACAACAUUCAGCCGCACACAUAGUGUGUCAGAUGAUCCACAGAGUGUAAGUAUGAUCGAUAUGCGUGGUGAGGAGGAGGCCAUCUCGCAGCCCCACAGUCAGGUCCGUCAUGAACUGAUGCACAACCAGUAUAACAGAAUGAAAGAAGAGGACGAUCACUGGCAGGAUGACCUGGCCCGAUGGAAAAAUCGGAGGAGGAGUAUUUCCCAGGACCUAAUCAAGAAGGAGGAGGAGAGGAAGAUGAUGGAGCAGUUGCUGUCAGGAAACACCUGUACCUCCAUGAGGAGGAGAAGCAUCAAGACUUACAGAGAGAUAGUGCAGGACAAGGAGCGUCGUGAGGAUGAACUGCGGGACGCGUACAGGAAAGCCAGAACCCCAGAGGAGGCAUCAUUCAUCCUCCAGCGUUAUGCCCAGCGUUUCUCCAUCAGUGAUGCAGUCCUGGAACGCCUACAGUUGCCAAAGAUCCUGGACCGCAGCAUAUCUGCUGAUCCCUCCUUUUCCGGCUCACCCUUCCCUCUCUCCCUGUCCGCCUCCCCAACGACCCCAGACCCCUUUGACGUGGACCCCAACGGACCCAUGAAGUAUCUGCGCCAGCUGUCUGCUCCGGCUCCGAAGUUCACGUCUACACUGGAAGCGCAAAUCGAGGAGUUUCCCAAAGACUCCUCACACCAGCGGCCUCAGAUUCGAUCUCGCUCUUCUGAGCCGCCAUCCACCAGAAACCUGUCGCCCAAACCGGUGCCUUUGCUGACGCCCAAGCCUUUCUUCCAGUCCGGACCCACAACGGCUGAACCAUGGCCCAGCAAGGCGGAUGGUUUUCUCCGAGUCAACGGCAUAGGAAGUGACGACGUUCCUUCCACGCCUGAAUCUCCUCCUCAUUUUCAGGCAUCCCCUUCCAAAACCAGCAACAGCACUGUAGAUGCUCCGUCGUCAGCACCCUCACCAACAUGCAGUCCACACACCUCAACCAGAGAAGAAAGCCCCUUGUCAACAAAGGCCAAGGAGGCACAAAGUGGCACAGAACCGGCUUCUAAGGACUUCCAAGCAGAGAAAGUCAUUCAGCAUUCGACACCACCCAGCCGGCCCACCUCGCUGCCAUCGGAGCUGCAGAAGCCAGAAGAAAGCUUUGGGAAGACUGAAAGCCAGUCAGUAGCUGCUCCAGAGGAGACGAAGUCAAGUGCCGCAGCUCAACAAAUGCCUCCUGCAGAAGCCAAACAAGAGCAACAUAUAACUGACCCAUCUGGUCAAAGCAUCUCCAACCUUGUCCAGUCAGGAAACAGCACACAGCAAAGUCAGCCAGUAACUUUACAGGCAAGUGUUCCCAGUUCCCAGGAGUUGCCACAGAGAAGAGAGAAUGUACCAAGCUUAGCUGCACCAGGAUCAUUUGAAUAUCACCCACCAAGGGAAACGACAGCAGAGUUUGCAAACAGUGUCAGGUCUCCGCUGGCAACCAGCAACCCUAAGUUACGCUGGGAGUUCUUCGUUCCGCCAGAAGAGACGGAGAAGGAUUGCCGUGGAAACGUGUCAGUCCCGGUGUUGCCCCAGGCCAGGCGGGGUGACCGCUGGUCUUGGGACCCGGAUGAGGAGCGAAAGCGUCAGGAAAGGUGGCAGCAAGAGCAGGAGCGCAUGCUGCAGGUACACAGUAUACCUCAAAGGGUAAAGCAUGGCGCACGAGUCUGCAAGGAGAAGUACCAGCGCGAGCAGGAGAAGCUGAAGGAGGAGUGGGAGAAAGCACAGAGGGAGGUGGCGGAGGAGGAGAGGAAGUACCACGAGGAGGAGCGUAGGAUACUGGAGGAAACUGUGGCGCCUCUAACUCCUCGCUCCUCAGCCCUGCCCUCCCCCAGCCGAGGCGGGGUCUCCUCUACCUCGGAGCCCCAGGACACCAUCGUCCGUUCGCUUGGUGACUGGGAACGCAAGCAGGAACUGCUGGAGAGGCACUCGAAGGGGAGCACAGAGAGUGUCGAAUGGAAACGAAGAGAAAACGACAGGACCAGUGACAUCAGCACCGCUGAUGACAGCAUGAAAACAGGCAGAAGCUCGGUGAGUCAGAGCAGCAGUCAGGCAGAGACACUCGGUCACAGUCUGCAGAACGGCCAAAAACUCCCUGCGAUGCCGACCAAAACCUCGACUCCAAUGAAGAAACAAGAAGAGCCUUCAGCAGACAGCAACAAGCCCAGCCGGCCUGCAGGAGACAGGAGGAGUGGUCCCAUAGAUAAUAUCAUGUGCCACAGCUCAUCAAAAAGCCCCGCAGCAUGUCCACCACCUCCAGACACACCGCCUCCAACACCCAACAGUGAAAUGUACAUUCCUAAACAUUACUGCAAAUGUGCCAGAGUUGUCUCGAAAUUCAACUGCUCAUCUGCAGUCCCAGGUCUGUCAGUGGGAAGAAACUGUGCUCCAGCUGUGGGCAGCCGUUAGGGAAGGGGGCCGCCAUGAUCAUAGAGACCCUCAGUCUUUACUUCCACAUUCACUGCUUUAAGUGCGGAGUGUGUAAAGGACAGUUAGGCGACACGACCACGGGGACGGACGUCCGGAUCAGAAACGGUCUCCUCAACUGCCACCAGUGCUACAUCCGCUCCCGCUCGGCCGGACAGCCAACCACGUUGUGACGCUCAACAGAAAAGCACAAGGUUCAUGGAAGAAACCCCAUCCCUGGUUUAACCCGAUAAUCUGCUAAUCAUGUCCUUCACAGCGUGUCGGGAUCUUUGCAUCCUCUGCAGCUCAAUAACCAAUGAAGAUUCGUCAGGGGGGCCCAACAAGGGUUCUGGGGACAGUCAAACGUUAAAAAAAAAUAUAUAUAUAUAUAUUCUAUAUAUAUUCUUCAUGUUUAUGUCAUCUGAUAUGUGAGUUAAAUCUGGAUUUGAUUGGUCCACAUACCACCACAGACUCUGUUUCAUCAUGCAGCAAGAGAGAGAGACUGUUCUGGGGUGGCAGCCAUGUUGAAAAGAAAAGAGUGAACACACACAAAAAGAAUAUGGUGUUCAAGUCUUUAAGGUGGUUAAGUAAAAUCAGGAUUUAUUUUCCUGUUGGAAAACAUUAGAAUAUUUGCCAUUCAAUUCCAUAUGAUGGAAAUGCAGUACAUCACAUAAUAAAUGAAUUACUUUUUUUUAUCAUUUGAGAAAGGUUUUCUUAAUUUGGAUAAAAAUCCAAAAGCUGGAGAGAACUCAGUAUGUGGUCAGGCAGCUCAGGUUGGAUUUUGUUAUUUCUCUAAACAGAAUGGAUCUGAAAAAUAUGAAUAAUUGAAUUCACCUUUAAUUGAGUGCUAGAUUGAAACAAAAUGUAUACAAAAACUUAAUUUAGAAAGUGCAGUAAAGGUCACUACAAACCAUAGAUUUAGAUCCACAGACACAAUAUCUACAGUAAGUCACUAUUUUCCCUACAGAACAAUGUAUCUUGUUCUGUGCUCCUAAAUAAAAUUAGCCUCUAAUAUAAACACAUAUUACGGAUGUAGUUUCAUCUUUAGGGCGAUAACACAACUCGUGAGCUGUUUUUGUGCUUUGGGUCACAGCAGGUUGCUCCUCGGCCAGUCUGUCCGCUUGGAAAGUCAGGACUUCAAUGUGCCUUAGGAAAGCAAGGUGAUGCAGGAAAAAACACACCAGCUGUAUGGUGUUGUAUUUUUUCAUUUGUAUGGGUGUAGGGAGGGAUACGGGCAAAUUUUAACCCUUAAAUUGCAGACAGACAGGCUGCAGCCCUCCCUUACAUCACGCUUUACUUCAGUACUGCUUAUUUUACAUAAACAACACCUUUAAUUUCCUAUUUCCCCCCUGUUAUUCCUCAGUGAUUUGCAGUGAUAACAACCAGUGCAAAGGAAUACAUUUGUUGUCUAUUUGGGAAAAAAUAUAUACUGCAGGGCAAACCAUGGAUUUCAUUUUGAAUGUUUUAUUCUAGAGAGGUAUAGGUAUAUAUUCUGUAUGCUAUUAGUUGAGGUAAUUUUGAUAAUUGCUCAGUGGUAGGAUUCAUUAAUACAAUUACAAAACACAAAAAUCACCACUUAAUGUUGCAUCUAGUUAAACAGCAAAGGUCAUAUGAACACUCAUACCAGCAGCAGUUGCACCUGUGCAAUAUUUGGUUGGAUGAAAACUAAAGAUCUGUGCUGCCAGCUGGACAUUUUAGGUCACUUGCUUCUUUUUUUAAAACUUGUAUGAGAGGAGCUCGGUUAUGUAUUGUGGAAGUAAAAAAAAAAUGCACGUUUAAGCCUAAAACCAAAUGAUUUGCUGUAUGAAAGCAAACUAGCAGCCUCCUCCUCCUGAACUGCGUCCUAUAGCCAAGCUUCUCCUCUGGUUUCAUCUCUCUGAUCUACAGUAUUUUUAAGCUUCUGUUCUGGUUGUGUAUUUUAUUUUUUAUCCUCAUUUAGUUAUUGAAUAAAUCUCGGCUGAGUCUCUUAUAGCAGGAUCUUUGAGACGGAGCUCUAUAUUCAGACAGUUUUCCUAACAGGAUAGUUGGGGAAUGAAACCUUUACGUCUGUUCUGUAUUUAUUGUAAUAUUCACCUGAACACUAUCCGAAAUAUAGAUUAAUUUGAUGUUUAAAUGCAAUGGCAUUUAUAUCAUACUGUAUGUUUAUAAAUAAAAUGUUAUAAAUUAAA
RNA transcript from Sander lucioperca (pikeperch), 6490 nucleotides. It is a transcript of the gene named LIM and calponin homology domains-containing protein 1, with no coding region annotated. Lineage: Eukaryota; Metazoa; Chordata; Actinopteri; Perciformes; Percidae. The transcript is spliced from 31 exons. The record is from RefSeq and is a predicted model, not a curated record.